UCUAAGUGUUUUAUGGGUAGUAAAAGUAGUACUUGAAACCUAAAAUUUUUGGCGGUUUUUUAGUCUGGUUAGAGGAAUCUGUCCUGUAAUGGAUGUUCCGCUUUUUUUUUAACUUUAGAGAAAGUUUAUAUAUCGCCGUCGUAAAGUGAGUUUUUUAGAUUUCGUUGGAUAGCUGCUGAGAAGAGGAGAGAUGACAGGUCAAGGUGUAGCUUAUGCUAGAGGGUGAGAUGGAUUACAAUCUUUAAUUGAAGAAAUGGAUGUCAGUGAGAAUAAGUUGUUGAUUGAAGGUGGAUUUAUGAGUAAUUGUUAAUUAAGAUGGAAUUAUGAAAUUGGCUCUGGAAAAUGU
This 346-nucleotide ribosomal RNA is filed under the name Paraphrynus pococki. RNAcentral's name for it is "partial small subunit ribosomal RNA". The record is from RNAcentral. Lineage: Eukaryota; Metazoa; Arthropoda; Arachnida; Amblypygi; Phrynidae.